GACGAACGCUGGCGGCGUGCUUAACACAUGCAAGUCGAACGGAAAGGCCCUGCUUUUGUGGGGUGCUCGAGUGGCGAACGGGUGAGUAACACGUGAGUAUCAUGCCCUUGACUUUGGGAUAACUUCAGGAAACUGGGGCUAAUAUCGGAUAGGAGCUACUGCUGCAUGGUGGGGGUUGGAAAGUUUCGGCGGUUGGGGCUGGACUCGCGGCUUAUCAGCUUGUUGGUGGGGUAGUGGCUUACCAAGGCUUUGACGGGUAGCCGGCCUGAGAGGGUGACCGGCCACAUUGGGACUGAGAUACGGCCCAGACUCCUACGGGAGGCAGCAGUGGGGAAUAUUGCACAAUGGGCGGAAGCCUGAUGCAGCAACGCCGCGUGCGGGAUGACGGCCUUCGGGUUGUAAACCGCUUUCGCCUGUGACGAAGCGUGAGUGACGGUAAUGGGUAAAGAAGCACCGGCUAACUACGUG
Molecule: ribosomal RNA, 468 nt
Filed under: uncultured bacterium
Lineage: Bacteria
Description: partial 16S ribosomal RNA
Rfam family: Bacterial small subunit ribosomal RNA
Source: RNAcentral